Molecule: ribosomal RNA, 462 nt
Filed under: uncultured bacterium
Lineage: Bacteria
Description: partial 16S ribosomal RNA
Rfam family: Bacterial small subunit ribosomal RNA
Source: RNAcentral
GACGAACGCUGGCGGCGUGCUUAACACAUGCAAGUCGAACGGAAAGGCCUUUUCGGAGGUACUCGAGUGGCGAACGGGUGAGUAACACGUGGGUGAUCUGCCCUGCACUCUGGGAUAAGCCUGGGAAACUGGGUCUAAUACCGGAUAGGACCGCACUUUAGUGUGUGUGGUGGAAAGUUUUUUCGGUGUAGGAUGAGCCCGCGGCCUAUCAGCUUGUUGGUGGGGUAAUGGCCUACCAAGGCGGCGACGGGUAGCCGGACUGAGAGGUUGGUCGGCCACAUUGGGACUGAGAUACGGCCCAGACUCCUACGGGAGGCAGCAGUGGGGAAUAUUGCACAGUGGGCGCAAGCCUGAUGCAGCGACGCCGCGUGGGGGAUGACGGCCUUCGGGUUGUAAACUCCUUUCGCCAGGGACGAAGCGUUUUGUGACGGUACCUGGAGAAGAAGCACCGGCUAACUACGU